RNAcentral lists this microRNA precursor (82 nucleotides) under Mesocricetus auratus (golden hamster). RNAcentral's name for it is "miRNA (ENSMAUG00000002433.1)". Lineage: Eukaryota; Metazoa; Chordata; Mammalia; Rodentia; Cricetidae. The record is from RNAcentral.
CUUCUGUGAUGCUGCUGCUUGUGAGUGAGCAUAUGUGUGUGAGAGCAGGCACAUACAUACAUACAUACAUACACACACACGC